Molecule: ribosomal RNA, 492 nt
Filed under: uncultured bacterium
Lineage: Bacteria
Description: partial 16S ribosomal RNA
Rfam family: Bacterial small subunit ribosomal RNA
Source: RNAcentral
AGUGAACGCUGGCGGUAGGCCUAACACAUGCAAGUCGAACGGCAGCACAGUAAGAGCUUGCUCUUACGGGUGGCGAGUGGCGGACGGGUGAGGAAUACGUCGGAAUCUACUUUUUCGGGGGGGAUAACGUAGGGAAACUUACGCUAAUACCGCAUACGACCUACGGGUGAAAGCAGGGGAUAUUCGGACCUUGCGCGAUUGAAUGAGCCGAUGUCGGAUUAGCUAGUUGGCGGGGUAAAGGCCCACCAAGGCGACGAUCCGUAGCUGGUCUGAGAGGAUGAUCAGCCACACUGGAACUGAGACACGGUCCAGACUCCUACGGGAGGCAGCAGUGGGGAAUAUUGGACAAUGGGCGCAAGCCUGAUCCAGCCAUACCGCGUGGGUGAAGAAGGCCUUCGGGUUGUAAAGCCCUUUUGUUGGGAAAGAAAAGCAGCAGGUUAAUACCCCGCUGUUCUGACGGUACCCAAAGAAUAAGCACCGGCUAACUUCGUG